UCUCCGUGAACCAAUGGCCCCCUGAACGCGCAUUGCACUCUUGGGACUUCCUGAGAGUAUGUUUGCUUCAGUGCUUAUUUUACCUCCUUGCAAGGUUCUGUCGCAACCUUGUGCCCUGGCCAGCCAUGGGUUAACUUGCCCAUGGCUUGCUGAGUAGUGAUCUUUCAGAGCAAGCUCUGGCACGCUGUUGUUUGAGGCAGCCUAUAUUGAGGCUAUUUCAAAUGACGUUGCACCAAGUGUCCUUCUGCGCCGUUGCGCAUCCCAUAGCAUGAAGUCAAACAAGAGAACCCGCUGAACUUAAGCUU
RNAcentral lists this ribosomal RNA (305 nucleotides) under Symbiodinium sp. clade D. Its description in RNAcentral is "eukaryotic LSU rRNA". The stretch from base 1 to 76 matches the Rfam family "5.8S ribosomal RNA", at positions 79 to 154 of the family's 154-position model. Lineage: Eukaryota; Dinophyceae; Suessiales; Symbiodiniaceae. The record is from RNAcentral.